CUACGGGUCGCAGCAGUGAGGAAUAUUGCGCAAUGGGGGGAACCCUGAUGCAGCAACGCCGCGUGGAGGAUGACACAUUUCGGUGUGUAAACUCCUUUUAUAUGUCAAGAAAAUGACGGUAGCAUAUGAAUAAGCACCGGCUAACUCCGUGCCAGCAGCCGCGGUAAUACGGAGGGUGCAAGCGUUACUCGGAAUCACUGGGCGUAAAGGACGCGUAGGCGGGUUGGAAAGUCAGGUGUGAAAUCCUACAGCUUAACUGUAGAACUGCACUUGAAACUUCUAAUCUAGAGUAUGGGAGGGGGAGAUGGAAUUAGUGGUGUAGGGGUAAAAUCCGUAGAUAUCACUAGGAAUACCUAAAGCGAAGGCGAUCUCCUGGAACAUUACUGACGCUAAGGCGUGAAAGCGUGGGGAGCAAACAGGAUUAGAUACCCUUGUAGUC
Molecule: ribosomal RNA, 439 nt
Filed under: uncultured bacterium
Lineage: Bacteria
Description: partial 16S ribosomal RNA
Rfam family: Bacterial small subunit ribosomal RNA
Source: RNAcentral